AUUCCGUGAUGAGGGCACUUCCGUAAUAAUUCUUUGUACCUUUCCCAUGCCUCAUACAAUGACUCAUCAUCCAUUUUUUGGAAAGCAAUGAUCUCGUUCCUUAACUU
Molecule: non-coding RNA, 107 nt
Organism: Gossypium raimondii (Peruvian cotton)
Lineage: Eukaryota; Viridiplantae; Streptophyta; Magnoliopsida; Malvales; Malvaceae
Source: Rfam